GAUGAAGAACGUAGCGAAAUGCGAUAAGUAGUGUGAAUUGCAGAAUUCAGUGAAUCAUCGAAUCUUUGAACGCACAUUGCGCCUCCUGGCAUUCCGGGAGGCAUGCCUGUUCGAGCGUCAUUAAAAUCACUCAAGCUUAGGUUUGCCUAUUGCUUGGUCUUGAAGUUGGAAGCUAAGUAAUUAGAAUCCUCUUCGAAAUCCAAUGGCGAAGACCCUUGCUCUCCCAAGUGUAGUAAUAACUUAUUCACUGAAGGAAGCGAGUAAUCUUCCGCCGUAACCCCCAUAUUUUCUAUGAUUGACCUCGGAUCAGGUAGGGAUACCCGCUGAACUUAAGCAUAUCAAUAAGCGGGAGGA
RNAcentral lists this unclassified non-coding RNA (354 nucleotides) under soil metagenome. RNAcentral describes it as "partial contains 5.8S ribosomal RNA, internal transcribed spacer 2, and large subunit ribosomal RNA". The stretch from base 1 to 120 matches the Rfam family "5.8S ribosomal RNA", at positions 35 to 154 of the family's 154-position model. The record is from RNAcentral.